Molecule: ribosomal RNA, 843 nt
Filed under: Colletotrichum fructicola
Lineage: Eukaryota; Fungi; Ascomycota; Sordariomycetes; Glomerellales; Glomerellaceae
Description: LSU rRNA
Rfam family: Eukaryotic large subunit ribosomal RNA
Source: RNAcentral
CAAACAGGGAUUGCCUCAGUAACGGCGAGUGAAGCGGCAACAGCUCAAAUUUGAAAUCUGGCCCUAGGCCCGAGUUGUAAUUUGCAGAGGAUGCUUUUGGUGCGGUGCCUUCCAAGUUCCCUAGAACGGGACGCCAGAGAGGGUGAGAGCCCCGUACAGUUGGACACCAAGCCUUUGUAAAGCUCCUUCGACGAGUCGAGUAGUUUGGGAAUGCUGCUCAAAAUGGGAGGUAUAUUUCUUCUAAAGCUAAAUACCGGCCAGAGACCGAUAGCGCACAAGUAGAGUGAUCGAAAGAUGAAAAGCACUUUGAAAAGAGGGUUAAACAGCACGUGAAAUUGUUAAAAGGGAAGCGCUUGUGACCAGACUUGCGUCCGGUGAAUCACCCAGCUCUCGCGGCUGGGGCACUUCGCCGGCUCAGGCCAGCAUCAGCUCGCUGUCGGGGACAAAAGCUUCAGGAACGUAGCUCUCUUCGGGGAGUGUUAUAGCCUGUUGCACAAUACCCUUCGGCGGGCUGAGGUACGCGCUCCGCAAGGAUGCUGGCAUAAUGGUCAUCAGCGACCCGUCUUGAAACACGGACCAAGGAGUCAACCUUAUGUGCGAGUGUUCGGGUGUCAAACCCCUACGCGUAAUGAAAGUGAACGCAGGUGAGAGCUUCGGCGCAUCAUCGACCGAUCCUGAUGUUCUCGGAUGGAUUUGAGUAAGAGCAUAUAGGGUUGGACCCGAAAGAAGGUGAACUAUGCGUGUAUAGGGUGAAGCCAGAGGAAACUCUGGUGGAGGCUCGCAGCGGUUCUGACGUGCAAAUCGAUCGUCAAAUAUGCGCAUGGGGGCGAAAGACUAAUCGAA